This 253-nucleotide ribosomal RNA is filed under the name uncultured bacterium. RNAcentral's name for it is "partial 16S ribosomal RNA". It matches the Rfam family "Bacterial small subunit ribosomal RNA", at positions 524 to 776 of the family's 1533-position model. The record is from RNAcentral.
UACGUAGGGUGCAAGCGUUGUCCGGAAUUAUUGGGCGUAAAGAGCUCGUAGGCGGGCUGUCGCGUCUGCUGUGAAAACUCAGGGCUUAACCCUGAGCUUGCAGUGGGUACGGGCAGACUAGAGUGCGGUAGGGGAGACUGGAAUUCCUGGUGUAGCGGUGGAAUGCGCAGAUAUCAGGAGGAACACCGAUGGCGAAGGCAGAUCUCUGGGCCGUAACUGACGCUGAGGAGCGAAAGCGUGGGGAGCGAACAGG